GAUGAACGCUGGCGGCGUGCCUAAUACAUGCAAGUCGAGCGAACAGAUAAGGAGCUUGCUCCUUUGAAGUUAGCGGCGGACGGGUGAGUAACACGUGGGUAACCUACCUAUAAGACUGGGAUAACUUCGGGAAACCGGAGCUAAUACCGGAUAACAUUUAGAACCGCAUGGUUCUAAAGUGAAAGAUGGUUUUGCUAUCACUUAUAGAUGGACCCGCGCCGUAUUAGCUAGUUGGUAAGGUAACGGCUUACCAAGGCGACGAUACGUAGCCGACCUGGGAGGGUGAUCGGCCACACUGGAACUGAGACACGGUCCAGACUCCUACGGGAGGCAGCAGUAGGGAAUCUUCCGCAAUGGGCGAAAGCCUGACGGAGCAACGCCGCGUGAGUGAUGAAGGGUUUCGGCUCGUAAAACUCCGUUAUUAGGGAAGAACAAAUGUGUAAGUAGCUGUGCACAUCUUGACGGUACCUAAUCAGAAAGCCACGGCUAACUACGUGCCAGCAGCCGCGGUAAUACGUAGGUGGCAAGCGUUAUCCGGAAUUAUUGGGCGUAAAGCGCGCGUAGGCGGUUUCUUAAGUCUGAUGUGAAAGCCCACGGCUCAACCGUGGAGGGUCAUUGGAAACUGGGAAACUUGAGUGCAGAAGAGGAAGGUGGAAUUCCAUGUGUAGCGGUGAAAUGCGCAGAGAUAUGGAGGAACACCAGUGGCGAAGGCGACUUUCUGGUCUGUAACUGACGCUGAUGUGCGGAAGCGUGGGGAUCAAACAGGAUUAGAUACCCUGGUAGUCCACGCCGUAAACGAUGAGUGCUAAGUGUUAGGGGGGUUUCCGCCCCUUAGUGCUGCAGCUAACGCAUUAAGCACUCCGCCUGGGGAGUACGACCGCAAGGUUGAAACUCAAAGGAAUUGACGGGGACCCGCACAAGCGGUGGAGCAUGUGGUUUAAUUCGAAGCAACGCGAAGAACCUUACCAAAUCUUGACAUCCUUUGAAAACUCUAGAGAUAGAGCCUUCCCCUUCGGGGGACAAAGUGACAGGUGGUGCAUGGUUGUCGUCAGCUCGUGUCGUGAGAUGUUGGGUUAAGUCCCGCAACGAGCGCAACCCUUAAGCUUAGUUGCCAUCAUUAAGUUGGGCACUCUAGGUUGACUGCCGGUGACAAACCGGAGGAAGGUGGGGAUGACGUCAAAUCAUCAUGCCCCUUAUGAUUUGGGCUACAUACGUGCUACAAUGGACAAUACAAAGGGCAGCUAAACCGCGAGGUCAUGCAAAUCCCAUAAAGUUGUUCUCAGUUCGAAUUGUAGUCUGCAACUCGACUACAUGAAGCUGGAAUCGCUAGUAAUCGUAGAUCAGCAUGCUACGGUGAAUACGUUCCCGGGUCU
This 1373-nucleotide ribosomal RNA is filed under the name uncultured bacterium. Its description in RNAcentral is "bacterial SSU rRNA". It matches the Rfam family "Bacterial small subunit ribosomal RNA", at positions 28 to 1381 of the family's 1533-position model. The record is from RNAcentral.